Molecule: long non-coding RNA, 877 nt
Filed under: Mus caroli (Ryukyu mouse)
Lineage: Eukaryota; Metazoa; Chordata; Mammalia; Rodentia; Muridae
Description: lncRNA (MGP_CAROLIEiJ_G0003134.1)
Source: RNAcentral
GGGGACGCUCCGGGGCGAGGAGUUUUCGGUCUGCAGUCACCCGGCCCCGGGAGCCAAGCUACAGGAGGAAGACGGGCCGGGACAGGGGUGGUGCUCGCCAGGCCCCCUGCAACCUGGGUACCCGCUAGCUCUCUUGUCCCCGCACCCCGACGCUGGGCACACAACUCCGGCUGCUUCCCGAGCGCCGCUCCGGGAACGGGCACAUCCCAGCAGCUGUCUGCCGGACAGGUCUUGGGAGACCGCGGUCCCUUUUCUGCAGCGGGUGGGGCGAGAAGCUACGGGAUGUGGACCUUCCAGAUAAGGGAGUGUCCCUGCCCGCCACACUGCAAGGGCGGCUGAGCGAUUAGGCGCGGCUAGCGGAACCGAGCGGCGGUGGCUGGGCUUUCCCCACGCUCCCGUCACUGUAGUUAAGCCGCCAGCCCCGCGGCAGCCGCUCCACAGCCCACUCCCGGGCCUGGGCUCUGACCCGAACGGCCGGCUCCGCCCUGUUGCACCUCAUAACAUCUCCCGCUGCAAACCGUCCAAUCCGGUGACGCUACGACAGUAUGCGAACCAAUCAAGGGCUACCGCUCAAGCCUUCUACCCCGCCCCCUCAGCCUCCCCUUCCCACUCCAUUUCGGGAGGUGGCUCACCAGCUCUGAUCCCUAGAGGAGCCUCUAGCUCUGGGGAUGGUGCUUGGCACCUCUUCACCACCCCCACCACCCCACCCCCGUCCUCUCGCUGUCUUAUGCACAUCCCCCCUCCAGGUCUCUGCCCUGCUGAUGCUGUUGAGGGUCCUUUCGAUCCUCAUUGACAGCUUUUGUGUCUGAUCAACUGACACCACCAUCCUGAGAGAACAGAACAAAAACCAAGAUGCUGUGGAACGUGUUACCUUUUU